Schizosaccharomyces pombe (fission yeast) is the source of this 457-nucleotide non-coding RNA. The record is from the annotation of a GenBank genome assembly. NCBI's taxonomy places the organism in Eukaryota, Fungi, Ascomycota, Schizosaccharomycetes, Schizosaccharomycetales, Schizosaccharomycetaceae.
CACAGAGAAAUUUCGUAACAUCGCCCGCUAUUCCACUGCACUUACCCGGUAAUCUGUGAGAAGUUUGUACUUGCAAACAGCACAGAUCCGUCUAAAUCUAACUCCAAGACAUAAAUGUUGUCUAUUCCGUGAUUUACUUUGUUAUCCUCGUUGGAAUUGCGUUCUUGCAUUACCAUUAACUUUAUAACUCCAUUCAGAUUUUGAUCCUAAUGUGCGACAAGUAAAACCAUUCGAAUACAAUUAGCGUUUCGUUAUUUCAUAAAACCCAAUCUAUCGACUAAAAAAACAUAGACAAUACGGUAACCAAUUGAUAUUCUAAUCAAACACCCAAUUUAUGAACGUGGGUGGCUCUUGAUGACUGUGUCAAUAUUUAUAUGAGUGAGCAGUGCGUAGAGGCUAAUCAUUGUUACCCUGGGACGAUUGAUACCUGUGCUUACUUAUCCCUUGAUCAGGAUUC